Molecule: ribosomal RNA, 253 nt
Filed under: uncultured bacterium
Lineage: Bacteria
Description: partial 16S ribosomal RNA
Rfam family: Bacterial small subunit ribosomal RNA
Source: RNAcentral
UACGUAGGGGGCAAGCGUUGUCCGGAAUCAUUGGGCGUAAAGAGCGUGUAGGCGGCCCGGUAAGUCCGCUGUGAAAGUCCAGGGCUCAACCCUGGGAUGCCGGUGGAUACUGUCGGGCUCGAGUCCGGAAGAGGAGUGUGGAAUUCCUAGUGUAGCGGUGAAAUGCGCAGAUAUCAGGAAGAACACCGGUGGCGAAGGCGGCCCACUGGUCCGGUACUGACGCUGAGGUGCGAAAGCGUGGGGAGCAAACAGG